GGAUGUGAGGGUGAUCUGGCUGUGACAUCUGUCACCAUAUUGAUCACCAGGGUUGAUUCAGCUGAUGGCUGGUUAGCCAGGAGUCCCCUUCCUUCCUCUCUGCUCCUGCGUGCCCCUCCAGAAACUGCAUGCUUGGUUAAAGAGGACGACUACCCUGAUAGAGGAGCCCUUUCCUUGGUCAAGGGUAUGCGAGUAGCUGUGCUCCUCUAAUAAGAACCUCCAAAUGCGCUCUCAAGAAAUGAACUGAAAGGACCAUAGUCCUAAUGAGACCAAGACAGAGAGAGACAGACACCGAUUUAAGAAUUGGAGCCCAUCCAGUCUUGAAGU
Unclassified non-coding RNA from Cavia porcellus (domestic guinea pig), 327 nucleotides. Its record names the gene 7SK. It matches the Rfam family "7SK RNA". Rfam says of the family: 7SK was discovered as an abundant small nuclear RNA in the mid-70s but a possible function has only recently been suggested. Two independent studies have found that 7SK RNA binds the CDK9/cyclin T complex (known as elongation factor P-TEFb). P-TEFb activates transcription by phosphorylating the C-terminal domain of RNA polymerase II. The record is from Ensembl. Lineage: Eukaryota; Metazoa; Chordata; Mammalia; Rodentia; Caviidae.